This 24-nucleotide non-coding RNA is filed under the name Arabidopsis thaliana (thale cress). Lineage: Eukaryota; Viridiplantae; Streptophyta; Magnoliopsida; Brassicales; Brassicaceae. The record is from RNAcentral.
GCACGAUGACCUGACGAGAAUUGA